GAUAAGCCCAGAUUAGGUAGUAACAACCAUUUGAGUCUGGGAUUUCUGAAUGGGGAAACCCACGUGCAUAAGCACGUAUCCUUACCUGAAUACAUAGGGUAAGGAGGCGAACCGGGGGAACUGAAACAUCUAAGUACCCCGAGGAAAAGAAAUCAACCGAGAUUCCGAAAGUAGCGGCGAGCGAAAUUGGACUAGCCCUUAAGCUUUACACGCGUUAGACGAACGGUCUGGAAAGUCCGACGAUACAGGGUGAUAGUCCCGUAGUUGACGACGUGUGUUCAGUGAAAUCGAGUAGGGCGGGACACGUGAUAUCCUGUCUGAAUAUGGGGGGACCAUCCUCCAAGGCUAAAUACUACUGACUGACCGAUAGUGAACCAGUACCGUGAGGGAAAGGCGAAAAGAACCCCUGUGAGGGGAGUGAAAUAGAACCUGAAACCGUGUACGUACAAGCAGUAGGAGCAGGCUUUGUCCUGUGACUGCGUACCUUUUGUAUAAUGGGUCAGCGACUUAUAUUCAGUGGCAAGGUUAACCAUCUAGGGGAGCCGUAGGGAAACCGAGUCUUAACUGGGCGUUCAGUCUCUGGAUAUAGACCCGAAACCAGGUGAUCUAGCCAUGGGCAGCUAGGGGUGAAAGGCCAAUCAAACCUGGAGAUAGCUGGUUCUCCCCGAAAGCUAUUUAGGUAGCGCCUCGGACGAAUACUACUGGGGGUAGAGCACUGUUAAGGCUAG
RNAcentral lists this ribosomal RNA (728 nucleotides) under Vibrio parahaemolyticus. Its description in RNAcentral is "partial 23S ribosomal RNA". It matches the Rfam family "Bacterial large subunit ribosomal RNA", at positions 70 to 922 of the family's 2925-position model. The record is from RNAcentral. Lineage: Bacteria; Pseudomonadati; Pseudomonadota; Gammaproteobacteria; Vibrionales; Vibrionaceae.